GGUACUGGGUAUAAUACCCGAUAGGUCUCGAUUGCUGGAAUGCAUCGAGAAAUAAAGCUCGGGCGCCUAAGGAUGGGUCUGCGGCCUAUCAGGUAGUAGUGGGUGUAGCGUACCUACUAGCCUACGACGGGUACGGGUUGUGAGAGCAAGAGCCCGGAGAUGGAUUCUGAGACACGAAUCCAGGCCCUACGGGGUGCAGCAGGCGCGAAAACUUUACAAUGCUGGCAACAGCGAUAAGGGAACCUCGAGUGCCAGGUUACAAAUCUGGCUGUAGAGAUGCCUAAAAAGCAUUUCAUAGCAAGGGCCGGGCAAGACCGGUGCCAGCCGCCGCGGUAACACCGGCGGCUCGAGUGGUAACCGUUAUUAUUGGGUCUAAAGGGUCUGUAGCCGGCCGGAUAAGUCUCUUGAGAAAUCUGGCAGCUUAACUGUCAGGCUUUCAGGAGAUACUGUCUGGCUCGAGGCCGGGAGAGGUGAGAGGUACUUCAGAGGUAGGGGUGAAAUCUUGUAAUCCUUGAAGGACCACCAGUGGGGAAGGCGUCUCACCAGAACGGACCUGACGGCAAGGGACGAAAGCUAGGGGCACGAACCGGAUUAGAUACCCGGGUAGUCCUAGCCGUAAACGAUACUCGCUAGGUGUCGGCCACGGUGCGACCGUUGUCGGUGCCGUAGGGAAGCCGUGAAGCGAGCCACCUGGGAGUACGUCGCAAGGCUGAAACUUAAAGAUUGGCGGGGA
This 733-nucleotide ribosomal RNA is filed under the name uncultured archaeon. RNAcentral's name for it is "bacterial SSU rRNA". It matches the Rfam family "Archaeal small subunit ribosomal RNA", at positions 136 to 874 of the family's 1478-position model. The record is from RNAcentral.